AUGGUCUUGUCCCUGCCAUCAGGACACAGCUCGCAUUACAGCACUGCCUUUAUUUGGCUGGAGAGCGGAUCUUGGCAGCUGCUUGCAAACUCUCUCCCUUCUGCUGUCUGGAUGGGUUUGGAGAGUUAUUGCUGCCCCAGCCCAAGCAGUAUGACCAGAUCCCUGGUGUCCCACGAGCAUCAAUCUGCCCCCAUCCAGCCACCCGCUCUUGUUCUCUGCCGGGUCUGGAGCCCAGGCCUGAAACCUAGAUGUGAUCUCGCCUCCCUUCUCCUGAGGUCUGCUGCUAAUGCUGCUGGUCCAGCCCAGAUGGAAGGUGAAGGUGAGAUGCUGGCCGCAUGGGAUGAUGAGAUUGAGAUGCUGGGACGCAACGCUUUGUGCUGUUUCCCCAGACAGCUGCCCCUGGGGUGGAUGCCAACCCUGCCGGCACCAGGAUUAACUCUGCUGCUUCAACUUGGUGACUGUCCAGCUGUUCCAUCACCAUUUGUUGGAAAGACUAUCUUUUCUCUGUUGCAUUGUCUCUGCUUCUUUGACAAAGAUCAGUUCAGUAUAUUUAUGUGAGUAUAUUUCUGGGCUAUCUAUUCUGUUACAUUGAUUUAUUUGUCUUUUUUUUUUUUUUUUA
Molecule: long non-coding RNA, 619 nt
Filed under: Mustela putorius furo (domestic ferret)
Lineage: Eukaryota; Metazoa; Chordata; Mammalia; Carnivora; Mustelidae
Description: lncRNA (ENSMPUG00000025830.1)
Source: RNAcentral